This 516-nucleotide ribosomal RNA is filed under the name uncultured bacterium. Its description in RNAcentral is "partial 16S ribosomal RNA". It matches the Rfam family "Bacterial small subunit ribosomal RNA", at positions 28 to 523 of the family's 1533-position model. The record is from RNAcentral.
GAUGAACGCUGGCGGCGUGCCUAAUACAUGCAAGUCGAACGCAUUGAGAGAAGUGCUUGCACUUUUCAAUUUGAGUGGCGAACGGGUGAGUAACACGUGGGCAACCUACCUGAUAGCGGGGGAUAACGAGUGGAAACAUUCGCUAAUACCGCGUAACAAUAGAGAAGGCAUCUUCUUUAUUUAAAAGGCGCUUUCAAGCGUCACUAUCAGAUGGGCCCGCGGUGCAUUAGUUAGUUGGUGGGGUGAAGGCCUACCAAGACGAUGAUGCAUAGCCGAGUUGAGAGACUGAUCGGCCACAUUGGGACUGAGACACGGCCCAAACUCCUACGGGAGGCUGCAGUAGGGAAUCUUCCACAAUGGACGAAAGUCUGAUGGAGCAACGCCGCGUGUGUGAUGAAGGCUUUCGGGUCGUAAAGCACUGUUGUAUGGGAAGAAACGCUAGGCUAGGAAAUGAGCUUAGUUUGACGGUACCAUACCAGAAAGGGACGGCUAAAUACGUGCCAGCCGCCGCGGUAA